GACUUGUGGACUUGCAGCCCCUGCUGUGUCCAAAGGCCUGGGAGACAGAUCCUGGAAUUUCACUGCAGGAACUGACAGGAUGGUUUCAGGAGGUCCAUUCCUAAAAGUUAGGAUUUAUUAUAGCUAAAGCUCCUGUUUUGGGACUGCAAGUGAAGGAUGUUGAGUGGAAAACGCAGAGUUCCACCUCCGUUAGAGCCAGAGCUGGCGUGACUCAUCCUGGAGGGCACAGCUUUGCAUGGUCCUUCACCUGAGCUGUUGCCCUGCUGUGAGAAAUCUGCCAUAAGAGAAAGCUGGAAACAGACUUAACCUCAUUUUGGAUUGUCCGCUGCCAUCCAGGAGCGGUGAGAAUUGGGAAUCCAUUUAUUAUUCCCUUUAAAGUGAAUUGUACUGCCUGCCCAUGGAAACACAGGGUGCAACUGAGGAAGACGCUGCUUUUGUGCAAGAAGGGCCACGAGGAUUAAAGUGCACCAGGUACAAUGUGUGUGGAUGAGUCAGGAGAUCCUGGCUUCAAAUGUGAGCUCUUCAAAGUGGCAUCUGCCUUUUUUGGUGAGCCUCACACCGACCUCUCAUUUAAAGAAUGCAGAACCAUAACAAAA
This is a long non-coding RNA of Pipra filicauda (Wire-tailed manakin), 596 nucleotides long. RefSeq lists it as uncharacterized. The record is from RefSeq and is a predicted model, not a curated record. Lineage: Eukaryota; Metazoa; Chordata; Aves; Passeriformes; Pipridae. The transcript has 2 exons.